UUUUAAGCAGACUCCAUGGAUUUCUCGCUUCACUUCUAUCUUGGAGGUAACCAACAGCUAUCUCACUAGACUUAAAACACACUCAACAGGAAAUAUUGUGUACUUUGGAUGCACUAAAGGAAAGAAGAAAUCAAAUACGUGAUCUAUGGAACAAUUUAAGACAUCUUCUAAGCAUUUUUGGGCCUAUAAAAUUCUAAACUUAUUUUCUCAAAAAAAAGAUUAAAUGCACUUUGUUAAAAAAUGAA
Molecule: non-coding RNA, 245 nt
Organism: Peromyscus maniculatus bairdii (prairie deer mouse)
Lineage: Eukaryota; Metazoa; Chordata; Mammalia; Rodentia; Cricetidae
Source: RefSeq, a predicted model, not a curated record